AGCGAACGUUAGCGGCGGGCCUAACACAUGCAAGUCGAACGCGAAAGGUCUUCGGACUGAGUAGAGUGGCGCACGGGUGAGUAACACGUAGGUAAUCUACCCUUUGGCGGGGGAUAACGUUCCGAAAGGAGCGCUAAUACCGCAUAAGACCACGGAGUCUCCGGACGCUGUGGGAAAAGGUGGCCUCUUCUUGAAAGCUACCACCGAAGGAUGAGCCUGCGUCCCAUCAGCUAGUUGGUAAGGUAAUGGCUUACCAAGGCGAAGACGGGUAGCUGGUUUGAGAGAAUGAUCAGCCACACUGGAACUGAGACACGGUCCAGACUCCUACGGGAGGCAGCAGUGGGGAAGUUUUGGUACAAAUGGGCGGCAAGCCUGAUCCAGCAAUAGCCGCCGUGUGUGAAGAAGGACCGUCGCGGGUUGGUUAAAGACAC
This 431-nucleotide ribosomal RNA is filed under the name uncultured bacterium. RNAcentral's name for it is "bacterial SSU rRNA". It matches the Rfam family "Bacterial small subunit ribosomal RNA", at positions 29 to 433 of the family's 1533-position model. The record is from RNAcentral.